AUAUUUGGAAUGCGAAGGAACCUAUUCGAUUAGACGAUACGGGCAAAGUGUAAAAACAAAAUUCAAACUCAUCCAUCAAGUGGAGGAAGCUAAUACGUCUGAGAAGAAAAUAUAUACUUCAACUCACCGGUUUGAAUCUCGUCUCCAGUAGUGCCUCCAAGCAUAUUCCCACUGCAUUCUGCAAUCGAGAAUGAACGAGAAUUCAUUGACCGUAGAAUUCAACGGUAACAGUUUCUAAUUAGAUUGAAUAAUUCAAGAGCAGAUUUUCUGAGAAUAAAAAUGGAAAAUCUUAUUUGCGAUUUGAUUCCUAAAGUCUCAAUUGAUU
This 325-nucleotide unclassified non-coding RNA is filed under the name Athalia rosae (coleseed sawfly). RNAcentral's name for it is "misc RNA ENSAEAG00005004584.1". Lineage: Eukaryota; Metazoa; Arthropoda; Insecta; Hymenoptera; Athaliidae. The record is from RNAcentral.